UGGGGAAUAUUGGACAAUGGGCGAAAGCCUGAUCCAGCCAUGCCGCGUGUGUGAAGAAGGUCUUCGGAUUGUAAAGCACUUUAAGUUGGGAGGAAGGGUUGUAGAUUAAUACUCUGCAAUUUUGACGUUACCGACAGAAUAAGCACCGGCUAACUCUGUGCCAGCAGCCGCGGUAAUACAGAGGGUGCAAGCGUUAAUCGGAAUUACUGGGCGUAAAGCGCGCGUAGGUGGUUUGUUAAGUUGGAUGUGAAAUCCCCGGGCUCAACCUGGGAACUGCAUUCAAAACUGAAUGACUAGAGUAUGGUAGAGGGUGGUGGAAUUUCCUGUGUAGCGGUGAAAUGCGUAGAUAUAGGAAGGAACACCAGUGGCGAAGGCGACCACCUGGACUAAUACUGACACUGAGGUGCGAAAGCGUGGGGAGCAAACAGG
RNAcentral lists this ribosomal RNA (429 nucleotides) under Brucella melitensis. RNAcentral describes it as "partial 16S ribosomal RNA". It matches the Rfam family "Bacterial small subunit ribosomal RNA", at positions 355 to 776 of the family's 1533-position model. Lineage: Bacteria; Pseudomonadati; Pseudomonadota; Alphaproteobacteria; Hyphomicrobiales; Brucellaceae. The record is from RNAcentral. RNAcentral also lists the same sequence under 1 other name.